RNAcentral lists this unclassified non-coding RNA (286 nucleotides) under Frankliniella occidentalis (western flower thrips). RNAcentral describes it as "partial contains large subunit ribosomal RNA (rrnL); may also contain tRNA-Leu (trnL)". The stretch from base 1 to 166 matches the Rfam family "Bacterial large subunit ribosomal RNA", at positions 2479 to 2645 of the family's 2925-position model. The record is from RNAcentral. Lineage: Eukaryota; Metazoa; Arthropoda; Insecta; Thysanoptera; Thripidae.
AGAGCAAAAAUUUUUUAGAGAUCAAAUCAAGAAAAUUAAAUGCUACCUCGAUGUUGAAUUAAGAAAAGAUCUAAUAGAAAAAAAUUAGAUUAUAGGUCUGUUCGACCUUUAAAUUCUUACAUGAUUUGAGUUAAGACCGGUGUAAGCCAGGUUGGUUUCUAUCUUCAUAAUAGAAGUUUUUAUAGUACGAAAGGACCUAAAAACUUAAUUUUAUUAAUUAAUUAGCUUAUAUAAAGCAAGUAUUUUGAAAAUACUAGAAAGAUUUAAAAAUUUAUUAAUUUUAUGU